Molecule: ribosomal RNA, 493 nt
Filed under: Vibrio harveyi
Lineage: Bacteria; Pseudomonadati; Pseudomonadota; Gammaproteobacteria; Vibrionales; Vibrionaceae
Description: bacterial SSU rRNA
Rfam family: Bacterial small subunit ribosomal RNA
Source: RNAcentral
AGUUUGAUCCUGGCUCAGAUUGAACGCUGGCGGCAGGCCUAACACAUGCAAGUCGAGCGGAAACGAGUUAUCUGAACCUUCGGGGNACGAUAACGGCGUCGAGCGGCGGACGGGUGAGUAAUGCCUAGGAAAUUGCCCUGAUGUGGGGGAUAACCAUUGGAAACGAUGGCUAAUACCGCAUAAUGCCUACGGGCCAAAGAGGGGGACCUUCGGGCCUCUCGCGUCAGGAUAUGCCUAGGUGGGAUUAGCUAGUUGGUGAGGUAAUGGCUCACCAAGGCGACGAUCCCUAGCUGGUCUGAGAGGAUGAUCAGCCACACUGGAACUGAGACACGGUCCAGACUCCUACGGGAGGCAGCAGUGGGGAAUAUUGCACAAUGGGCGCAAGCCUGAUGCAGCCAUGCCGCGUGUGUGAAGAAGGCCUUCGGGUUGUAAAGCACUUUCAGUCGUGAGGAAGGUGGUAGUGUUAAUAGCACUAUCAUUUGACGUUAGCGAC